GAUGAAGAACGCAGUGAAAUGCGAUAAGUAAUGUGAAUUGCAGAAUUCAGUGAAUCAUCGAAUCUUUGAACGCACCUUGCGCCCUUUGGCCAUUCCGAAGGGCAUGCCUGUUUGAGUAUCAUGAACACCUCAACUCUUCAUGGUUUUCCAUGAUGAGCUUGGACUUUGGGGGUCUUGCUGGCCUGUGGGUCGGCUCCUCUCAAAUGAAUCAGCUUGCCGGUUUUUGGUGGGCAUCACAGGUGUGAUAACUAUCUACGCUUGUGGUUUUCCACCAGGGUAACCUUCAGCAGUGGAGGUUCACUGGAGCUUACAAAUGUCUCUCCUCUGUGAGGACAGCCCUUUGAAUGUUUGAUCUCAAAUCAGGUAGGACUACCCGCUGAACUUAAGCAUAUCAAUAAGCGGAGA
RNAcentral lists this unclassified non-coding RNA (405 nucleotides) under soil metagenome. RNAcentral's name for it is "partial contains 5.8S ribosomal RNA, internal transcribed spacer 2, and large subunit ribosomal RNA". The stretch from base 1 to 121 matches the Rfam family "5.8S ribosomal RNA", at positions 35 to 154 of the family's 154-position model. The record is from RNAcentral.